This 495-nucleotide ribosomal RNA is filed under the name uncultured bacterium. Its description in RNAcentral is "partial 16S ribosomal RNA". It matches the Rfam family "Bacterial small subunit ribosomal RNA", at positions 38 to 507 of the family's 1533-position model. The record is from RNAcentral.
GGGGGGGGGGGGGGGGGGGGGGGGGGGGGGGGGGGGGGGCGGUGGAGGAGGGGCUUGCGCUUCGGGGGGGGUUGCGAACGGGUGAGUAAGGCGUAGGUAACCUGCCUGGUAGCGGGGGAUAACUGGUGGAAACGAUAGCUAGGACCGCCUCACAGUAGCUGUUGCAUGACAUUUACUUAAACGGUGCAAUUGCAUCACUCCCAGAUGGACCUGCGUUGUAUUAGCUAGUUGGUUGGGUAACGGCUCACCCAGGCGACGAUACAUAGCCGACCUGAGAGGGUGAUCGGCCACACUGGGACUGAUACACGGCCCAGACUCCUACGGGAGGCAGCAGUAGGGAAUCUUCGGCAAUGGACGGAAGUCUGACCGAGCAACGCCGCGUGAGUGAAGAAGGUUUUCGGAUCGUAAAGCUCUGUUGUAAGAGAAGAACGAGUGUGAGAGUGGAAAGUUCACACUGUGACGGUAUCUUACCAGAAAGAGACGGCUAACUACGUG